UACGUAGGUGGCAAGCGUUAUCCGGAAUUAUUGGGCGUAAAGGGUGCGUAGGCGGCCUGACAAGUCUGAUGUGAAAUCCCUGGGCUCAACCCAGGGCCUGCAUCGGAAACUGUCGGGCUUGAGUAUGGGAGAGGUGAGUGGAAUUUCCGGUGUAGCGGUGAAAUGCGUAGAUAUCGGAAGGAACACCUGUGGCGAAAGCGGCUCACUGGACCAUUACUGACGCUGAGGCACGAAAGCUAGGGGAGCAAACAGG
RNAcentral lists this ribosomal RNA (253 nucleotides) under uncultured bacterium. RNAcentral describes it as "partial 16S ribosomal RNA". It matches the Rfam family "Bacterial small subunit ribosomal RNA", at positions 524 to 776 of the family's 1533-position model. The record is from RNAcentral.